Molecule: ribosomal RNA, 404 nt
Filed under: Verrucomicrobiota bacterium
Lineage: Bacteria; Pseudomonadati; Verrucomicrobiota
Description: Verrucomicrobia bacterium partial 16S ribosomal RNA
Rfam family: Bacterial small subunit ribosomal RNA
Source: RNAcentral
UGGGGAAUAUUGCACAAUGGGCGCAAGCCUGAUGCAGCAACGCCGCGUGAACGAUGAAGGUCUUCGGAUCGUAAAGUUCUGUUGCAGGGGAAGAUAAUGACGGUACCCUGUGAGGAAGCCCCGGCUAACUACGUGCCAGCAGCCGCGGUAAUACGUAGGUGGCAAGCGUUGUCCGGAAUUAUUGGGCGUAAAGCGUGCGCAGGUGGUUUAGAAAGUCUGAUGUGAAAGCCCACGGCUCAACCGUGGAGGGUCAUUGGAAACUAAUAAACUUGAGUGCAGGAGAGAAAAGUGGAAUUCCUAGUGUAGCGGUGAAAAGCGUAGAGAAUAGGAGGAACACCGGUGGCGAAAGCCGCUUUUUGGCCUGCAACUGACACUGAGGCGCGAAAGCGUGGGGAGCAAACAGG